UUCACUUGAAUGUUGCCGCUGAGCAACACCCAGUUGCAUUUCCGACAGUUGAUCGCACAGAAGCAGGUCAGAAGACGUAAUGGUUUCGUAUUUGCGUGCUUUCGCUGAGGCAACGUGCGGCACACCAUCGAAAGUGCCAACUCGUUUCUCUAGAGCAAACUGCUUCGUGAAAAGGGCCAAUACUGUCUGUGUUGUGUAUGUAUUGUACAAUAUCAUUUUAUGUCUGUACUCAUAUGCCACUGCCUUCUGGUGCCAUGCAGAAACGUCAGAGGAAAUGGACUUAUUCCUCAGCAAGAGGCCUAGGAAGGCCAUGUACUCCAACGAAGGAAAAGGAAAGAAGAGGACAAAAGGGAAGCCCGCACCAUCGACAAAGCAGCUUCGUCUGGAAACGCAAAGCACCGUUGAGGCGGAGCUUGCAGCUCACAUUGAAGGAGUUGCCACACCUAACUGCACAUGUUGCAGUGACGGCUGUGCAGUGCAUGGCCAACUAGAUGAAGCGAAAAAAGAAAAUGCUCUUCUGAGAGAGGAGCUACUGGCUCAGAAAUAGAGCUUCCUCCAAAAAAUAGAGGAGCUCGAGAAAAAGUUAAAUGACACCCUGCAUCUCAAUGUAGAGCUUCAGAAAGCAUUGACGUCGAAGAUUUUUACAAGUGAGAGCAAGAUCAGUUAUGCCCGGUGUUUGGACGUGGCAGUAGAUGCAGAAGCUCCUGCACAAUCACGGAGCUCUGGUGUUGAAGCAAAA
Molecule: long non-coding RNA, 739 nt
Filed under: Dermacentor andersoni
Lineage: Eukaryota; Metazoa; Arthropoda; Arachnida; Ixodida; Ixodidae
Description: uncharacterized LOC126519889
Source: RNAcentral